This 250-nucleotide ribosomal RNA is filed under the name uncultured bacterium. RNAcentral describes it as "partial 16S ribosomal RNA". It matches the Rfam family "Bacterial small subunit ribosomal RNA", at positions 524 to 773 of the family's 1533-position model. The record is from RNAcentral.
UACGUAGGUGGCGAGCGUUAUCCGGAUUUACUGGGUGUAAAGCGCGUGCAGGCGGUUUGUUAAGUUGGGUGUGAAAGCUCCUGGCUCAACUGGGAGAGGUCGCUCAAGACUGGCAGACUGGAGCAUGGUAGGGGAAGGUGGAAUUCCGGGAGUAGUGGUGAAAUGCGUAGAUAUCCGGAGGAACACCAGUGGCGAAAGCGGCCUUCUGGACCAUGACUGACGCUCAGACGCGAAAGCCAGGGGAGCAAAC